CAAACACUAAAUUCAAUUUGAUCAAAUAUUAUUAGGUGGCUAUUCUUUUCCACUAUGAACAAGAGUUCCCUGAUUUGGAAUCCAUAUUGUUGUUUAGAAAGACAAUUAGUGGGCUUACUCAGUCGUAUUAGAUAGAAAGCUUGCUAAGAAAGCUCCGCAAGUCAUCUGGCUGAGAUGGAUUAUGAGCGCAAGUGAUAAACAAUGAGGGGAAACCCAAUUUUCCCUUAAAUUUUUUUUACCUUAAUGGCUUCAUACUUGGACAGAAGGGUAAUGUAUUUCUGCUGCUCUGGAUCCCGCUCCUAGAAGACAACGAUGGGGUUAGCAGAGGUUCAAACUUAAGAGUGCAGGCAUUUUUAUUUUUUUACUUUCGGCCAUAUGAGUGGAAAAAUCUCUUUUUGAGUGUUUUCUGACUUACGUUCAGUAUCUCUUCAUUAAACCUUUGGCUCUCAUGGACUUGUCCCUCCACCGUCUCUACUGACGCUUGCGGUGUUUUCACUUCGUCCUUCAGGUCGGAGUUCUCCUGCUCCAGAGUAUCCUGAGUGAAUGAGAUUGAUAAAAGGUUUUAUACGCCACAAAUGACCAACAUUAGAACUUUGAUGCAAAGCCAUUUUAUCAGCUAACAGGAACCGCACAGUUAACAAUUCAUGACGUUUAAAAUUAAGAGAAGAUGAGCUUACCCUAGUCUCUUUGUAGUCGUAACAAAGGAUUAGGGAUUUCUGCAGCUUUUGCUCCUGCUCCUCAAACACAAACAUGCGAGUGUUCAAUGUUCAUAUCUGCAAUGGACCUUUUCACUUUUGUUUGAAAAUGCACAGUUGUAAACAGAUGCUGUGGCAUAAUUAAAACUGCAACGUCGGCUUGUAUGAUUACGAUCAGUAUAUAACCGAUCAAAACCUUACACUGUCUGGUCAAAGUGUACAUAGUCUCUUUUGGAAGUUUUUAAGGUACCGGUGAACUUUUUAUUUUAUUUUCUCAAUAUCUGCCAUGUUGUUUGUUAAUCAAAUGAAUGUGAAAAGUUCUUUUUAAUGCUCUUCUGUCCUCCAGGAAUAAAUAAUAAAUAAAUAAAUAAAUAAAUAAAUAAAUAGAUAUUAAAGCGUUUCUCGCUUACCUUCAAUUUCUUUUCUUCUAUGUGGUCAGUCUUAUGGAGUCCCUCCAACUUCUCCACUGACCCUUGCAGUGUUUUUAAUUGAGUCUUCAUGAUGGAGUUUUCAUACUCCUGCUGAGCGGUGGACGCUACAACAAUCUUAACUAUCUUCUUAUCUUCAGCCAUAAAGGACUGCAAGUUCAACAAAAAAAUGAUAUCAGCUUUAUUUACCUGUAAAAGUCUCUUUUUAUCCAUCCAUCCAUCCAUCUUCUAUAUCGCUUAUCCUUUUCAGGGUCACGGGGAAACCUGGAGCGUAUCCCAGGGAGCAUCGGGUACAACGCGGGGUACACCCUGGACAGGGUGCCAAUCCAUCGCAGGGCACGACAGUCUCUUUUUAUGUGUAUCUCUAAAUUGCUAUUAAGGCUUUUCUCACUUACCUUCAAUUUCUUUUUAAACAUGCGGCGAGUCUUGUGGACUUGUCCCUCCAACUUCUCCAAAGAGCCUUGCAGUGUUUUUACUUGGUCCUUCAGAUUGGAGGUCUCGUCCUCCAGAGUAUCCCGAGUGAAUGAAAUUGAUAAAAAGGUUGUUUUGUUUUUUUUAGACACCACACAUUACCCACAUUAGUACUUUGUUGCAAAGCCACUAUUAGCAAUUACAGCUUCAGGACAUAUACGGUAAGAUCUAAUAAGCUUCAUGCAGGAUUAUGGUUCAGUUUUGUUCCCUUCCUCUCAGCAUAUAAUCCUCAAUUUCCCAACAUUACGGGUGUCCAUCUGACAGACUCGUCAUUUUAAUAUCCCCCAUACAUUUUCAACAGGGUUCAAGUCAGUAGAUCGGCCAGGCCAUGCAAGCUCUUCAUUUAAGAUGAUGACGUUUAAUAUGAAGCUUUUCUCACUCACCUUGCUUUAUCUCUCAGACAUCGUAUGAACCUCAGAGAGCAGUUUCUCCAGCUACAUCACUUUGUGCUCCAGGUAUUCAACAUAGAACUUCUCGCAGUCCGGUUGAACACCGGACACCUCAUCUUUCUCAUCCUUAUCCUCCAGAGUCAUUAUGUCAUUUUCUAUGGAUGCUGAGUAGUAUUUCGCCUCACACUAGAUUACCAGCACAAUAAAGCCUGAUAUUUGGUCUGACCUGGCCACCACAUUGUUACCUAAAAGGUCUGGCUAGAUCCCUUACUGAAAACCGUUUGUUUAAUAUAUAUAUAUAUAUGGAGAACUGCAUUUAACAGUUCAUCGUUACACCAGGACCAAGAAGUACUUAUGGAAAUAACCCUACCUUUGUGGACAGCUGUGCCUUCAAAGGCUUUCCUACUCGGCUCCUCAACUUCACACUUUUGGACAUCGUUAGCUCCAGCUACAUUGGCUUCAGCUCCAGAAGCUGCGAAGCUUGUAAAACGCUUGCAUUUACAAAAAAGUAAACAUUAUGUCUUACUCCUUAACAGGUCUGAAACACCUCGUCAAUGUCGAGUUCAAUGAAACAAUGAGCCUCUCUGCCUUCUUAUUAAUCUUGUAGAAAAGAAUUUGCGUUCUGUUUCCAGUGACGUCACAACCACCUCUCCAUGGAAACGCCAUUCUAUAGAAUCUCCGUUCUGCGUCUCCCCCUCCCCUCUGCUACAACUUUUAUCAUAUGAAAAUGUGAUUUAGUUGAUUUUCAGUUCAUCAUUUAAUGAAAUAAUUAUCUUAUGCAUUCGUAUAAUACGACAUACCGACAAAAUCUCACCCGUAGUAGUUCAGUCGUCCUACUAGGAGUCUACAACAUAAAACAAAGGCAACCUGAGUAAACACACAAUACAGUUUUUAAACCUAUCACCAAUGUGAAAAACGAUUUGCCCGCCUUCAACUUAAAAUCUGGUUGUGCCACCUUUAGCACCAAUAACUGCAACCGAACAAUCGAUCACUGGAGAUUAGUCUGUGGUGGAAUAAACGGGUUAAUAUUUUCAGGGUUAUUUUAACCCUUUAAAAAUGUCAAUUUACCACAUUAUAAACAAAUAUGUCAACAUGGUAUCUCGUUUAUUUAUACACAAGAAGGUGUUCAGAAAUGUAUUACUAGAGCUGCUAACGUGGUGUUUAUAUAUAUAUAGACUAGACUUUGAAGUAAACAACUCAAAUAAGUCAUAUUUAACUCAAUUUUAUUUGUACAGCGCUUUUUACAAUGGACAUUGUCUCAAAGCUGCUUUACAGAAAUAUAUAAACACGGGAUACACAUUUUAAAUGUGUAAAAUUUAAAAAAAAAAAAAAAAAAAAAGUUCACCUCUACCUCCAUCUACUGGUUUUAGGUGCAAUUGCAAGACAUUUUAAUGUUGUGUUUGUUUGUCCACCAGAUGGCAGUAAUCUGCGACUAAACCAUGCUGCAGUCUUCAUAUUAUUUGAAUGGAGUGCAACACAGAAGUCUGUAAUCUUCCCUAAAGUCUGUAACUGUCUGGGGUUUGUGGAGACUUCAAAACAUUCUGAGUGUUGGCAUAAACGAACAGCCUAGAAGGGUUCAUUUGAGCCAAGGAGUUGGGUUGAUGCAUCGAGGUGGGCGAGUGGGGUGCACUGAUUCGACUGUCAGUGAAAAUGACCCAGCCAUUAACCCAACGGUUGGGUUACACAAAAUUACCCGAUAACUGG
Molecule: long non-coding RNA, 3687 nt
Organism: Ictalurus punctatus (channel catfish)
Lineage: Eukaryota; Metazoa; Chordata; Actinopteri; Siluriformes; Ictaluridae
Source: Ensembl